Molecule: long non-coding RNA, 193 nt
Organism: Maniola jurtina (meadow brown)
Lineage: Eukaryota; Metazoa; Arthropoda; Insecta; Lepidoptera; Nymphalidae
Exons: 3
Source: RefSeq, a predicted model, not a curated record
UGAAAUUCGGAAUGGAGAUAGAUAAUAUCCUGGAUUAGCACAAAGGCUACUUUUUAUCCCGGUAAAUCAAAGAGUUCCCACGGGAUUUCGAAAAACCUAAAUCCACGCAGGCAAAGUCUCGGGUAUCGGCUAGUAUGUUAUUUCUUGUAUGAUGGUAUACUGAACCUUUCGUGUGCAUGUCCGACUGGUACUU